RNAcentral lists this long non-coding RNA (278 nucleotides) under Selaginella moellendorffii. Its description in RNAcentral is "long non-coding RNA (SMOE_LNC001819)". Lineage: Eukaryota; Viridiplantae; Streptophyta; Lycopodiopsida; Selaginellales; Selaginellaceae. The record is from RNAcentral.
UUUUUUUUGGAAGCGUAGUGUACUGGGAUGAUAGCGUGACCAGAACUUAGAAGCAACAGAAUUUUUAUCUUCCAGGUGAGUAAACAUCCUCUCUAUGAUAUUCCAAGUUUUAAAGCUGGGAAACUUACUCCAUUUUGUGAGAGUGUUUGUUCAAUGCGUAGGACAUCUGAGUUUUGCUGCAGUCGUUUCAUUGUGAUUAUUCAUUUUUAUUGGCCUCACUGCUGUAAGAGUUAAACCUUGUCUUUUCUUCUUCUAUGCGAUUCAGUAGUUCAUGUGCG